UCCUACGGGAGGCAGCAGUGGGGGAUAUUGCACAAUGGGGGAAACCCUGAUGCAGCGACGCCGCGUGGAGGAAGAAGGUUUUCGGAUUGUAAACUCCUGUCGUUAGGGACGAUAAUGACGGUACCUAACAAGAAAGCACCGGCUAACUACGUGCCAGCAGCCGCGGUAAAACGUAGGGUGCAAGCGUUGUCCGGAAUUACUGGGUGUAAAGGGAGCGCAGGCGGGAAGACAAGUUGGAAGUGAAAACCAUGGGCUCAACCCAUGAAUUGCUUUCAAAACUGUUUUUCUUGAGUAGUGCAGAGGUAGAUGGAAUUCCCGGUGUAGCGGUGGAAUGCGUAGAUAUCGGGAGGAACACCAGUGGCGAAGGCGGUCUACUGGGCACCAACUGACGCUGAGGCUCGAAAGCAUGGGUAGCAAACAGGAUUAGAUACCCUGGUAGUCCAUGCCGUAAACGAUGAUUACUAGGUGUUGGGGGAUUGACCCCCUCAGUGCCGCAGUUAACACAAUAAGUUAUCCACCA
This 520-nucleotide ribosomal RNA is filed under the name uncultured bacterium. RNAcentral's name for it is "bacterial SSU rRNA". It matches the Rfam family "Bacterial small subunit ribosomal RNA", at positions 337 to 873 of the family's 1533-position model. The record is from RNAcentral.